RNA transcript from Quercus lobata, 1905 nucleotides. It is a transcript of the gene named hydroxyphenylpyruvate reductase-like, with no coding region annotated. The record is from RefSeq and is a predicted model, not a curated record. NCBI's taxonomy places the organism in Eukaryota, Viridiplantae, Streptophyta, Magnoliopsida, Fagales, Fagaceae. The transcript is spliced from 5 exons.
AAUGCAAUCUUGGCAAUGUCAUUUUUACCCUGCCACUUUCACAGCCACUACCAACCACCGUCAAACCAAACACCAACUGUAUAUAUUAACCGAAAUUCAAAUCCCAAAUCCCCCUCAAAACCCUAAACCCUAACCCUAAUUCCCAAAUCCACAAUUCACUUCCAAUGGACUCCAUUACCGUCCUAAUGACCAGCCCAAUGUCCGAUUACCUCGAAACACAACUCAGAGACCGGUUCAACCUCGUCAAGCUCUGGACCUAUUCCUCAAAAACCGAUUUUUUCAAGCACAAUUCCCAUUCAAUCCGAGCAGUAGUCGGAAACACCAAAAUUGGCGCCGACGCCGAACUCAUCGACUCGUUGCCAGAGCUGGAGAUUGUCUCGAGUUACAGUGUUGGGUUGGACAAGAUUGAUCUGAGGAAAUGUCAGGAAAAGGGGAUUAGGGUCACAAACACGCCGGAUGUGUUGACGGAUGAUGUUGCAGACGUGGCGAUGGGGUUGAUGUUGGCGGUUACGAGGAGGGUUUGCGAGUGUGACCGGUUUGUGAGACGUGGGUUGUGGCCGAAAGGCAAUUUCAGAUUGACUAAUAAGUUCAGUGGUAUGCAAGUUGGAAUUGUUGGGUUGGACAGGAUUGGUUCAGCAAUUGCAAAGAGAGCUGAAGCAUUUGGAUGCCCUAUCAGUUACUAUUCUAGAUCUGAGAAACCAGAAACAAAUUACAAGUACUUUUCGAACAUUAUUGACUUGGCUGUCAAUUGUCAAAUUCUUGUUGUUGCGUGUGCUUUGACAAAAGAAACCCACCAUAUUAUCAAUCGUGAAGUCAUUGAUGCAUUGGGUCCAGAGGGCAUUCUCAUCAACAUUGGACGAGGCUCACAUAUUGACGAACCUGAACUUGUGUCUGCACUCCUUGAAGGCCGUUUGGGCGGGGCUGGGCUCGAUGUCUUUGAAAACGAGCCAGAGGUUCCUGAACAACUGUUUGGGCUUGAAAAUGUAGUUCUCAUGCCUCAUGUGGGGAGUGACACUGUGGAAACCGCUGAUGCAAUGGCAGACCUUGUCAUAAAGAACUUGGAGGCACACUUUUUAAAAAAGCCACUCUUAACUCCGGUAGUUUGAUAUUAUUAAGAAGGGUCUUCAAUGGACAGAAUUUUGAGCACCUUGAGGCCAUCAAGUUUGUCACCUAUGCUGUCUUUCAAAACUUCAAUGUGUUCAUCACAUUUAGGGAAAAGUAAAUACAAGGAAAGAUUGUUUUGGCUUACAACGUGGGGUUCGACAAGAUUGAUUUGGUGAAAUGUAAAGAAUAGGGAAUUCAUGUUACAAAUACACCCAAUGUGUUAACAGAUGAUGUUGCAGACAUGGCAAUAGGGUUGACAUUGCGGUGUUGAGGAUUUUUGUGGCUGGUUGUUUUGUGAGGACUGGGGCAUGGUAGAAAGGGGAUUUCAAAUUGACAACAAAGUUCGGCGUCAAUCAGUUGGAAUUGUUAGGUUGUGCUGGAUUGGUUUAGCAAUUGCGAAGAGAGCUGAAGCAUUUGGUUGCCCCAUCAGUUACUGCUCUAGAGCUGAAAAACAAUAUCCAAAUUGCAAAUACCAUUCCACUAUUGUUGACUUUGCCUCAAAUUGUCAAAUUCUCAUUUUGGCAUGCAAUCUCUCAGAUGAAACCUGCCACAUUGUUAAGUGUUAACUGUGAAGACAUUGAUGCAUUGGGGGGCCAAACGACAUUAUCAUCAACAUUGGACAAGGUCCACUCAUUGAUGAAACCCAACUUGCUUCUGCAUUGUUUGAAGGCUGGCUGGGUGGGGCAGGACUUGGCCCAGUUCAUCCUGCUUCCAAUGAGGAGAAAAGUAAAUCCAAUCUGAGAUUGAAGACUUGAGCCCAUGGGAAUUAUUAAGCUUUGCCCAGGCUGCAAGACCAUGGGC